RNAcentral lists this ribosomal RNA (497 nucleotides) under uncultured bacterium. RNAcentral's name for it is "partial 16S ribosomal RNA". It matches the Rfam family "Bacterial small subunit ribosomal RNA", at positions 28 to 507 of the family's 1533-position model. The record is from RNAcentral.
GAUGAACGCUGGCGGCGUGCCUAAUACAUGCAAGUAGAACGCUGAAGCUUGGUGCUUGCACCGAGCGGAUGAGUUGCGAACGGGUGAGUAACGCGUAGGUAACCUGCCUCUUAGCGGGGGAUAACUAUUGGAAACGAUAGCUAAUACCGCAUAAAAGUCGAUAUCGCAUGAUAUUGAUUUGAAAGGUGCAAAUGCAUCACUAAGAGAUGGACCUGCGUUGUAUUAGCUAGUUGGUGAGGUAACGGCUCACCAAGGCGACGAUACAUAGCCGACCUGAGAGGGUGAUCGGCCACACUGGGACUGAGACACGGCCCAGACUCCUACGGGAGGCAGCAGUAGGGAAUCUUCGGCAAUGGGGGCAACCCUGACCGAGCAACGCCGCGUGAGUGAAGAAGGUUUUUGGAUCGUAAAGCUCUGUUGUAAGAGAAGAACGAGUGUGAGAGUGGAAAGUUCACACUGUGACGGUAACUUACCAGAAAGGGACGGCUAACUACGUG